AAUAUACUUAUGUAAGAAUAUUAUAAUAAUAUUAUUUUAAUGACAAGAUUGUAUUCAUGUCUGUGUUAAUGUAUUAUUGCAUGCCG
This is a long non-coding RNA of Maniola jurtina (meadow brown), 86 nucleotides long. RefSeq lists it as uncharacterized. The transcript has 3 exons. The record is from RefSeq and is a predicted model, not a curated record. Lineage: Eukaryota; Metazoa; Arthropoda; Insecta; Lepidoptera; Nymphalidae.